ACAGCAUCCAGAAUCAAGGCUCUUGGAGCAGAUAACAACCUCUGACUGACAGCCAGCAAGGAAGUGGGAACCUCAGUGCCACUGCUGAAAGGAGCCGAACUCUGCCAGCAACCUGUGUGGGCCUGGCAACGUGUUCUCUCCCAGAGCCUCCACAGAAGAGCCAAGGCCAGGCAGUGCCUUGAUUUUGGUCUUGAGAUUGGGAGGAAAGAAGCCAGCCAAGCCCAUCCUACAGAACAAGGAAGGUUACAGAAGCAGGUACACAGUAAUUCUGCUCAAUUUGGAGCCUGAGAAAGAUGACUGAUGGCAACUCAGCUGCCCUCUGGCUCUCACUCCUGGAGCUUAACCUUUACAUAUGGAUACUACACAGGCCUGGUGCAAUCCUGGAAAAGGAGAGAAACAGAGAUAAGAUGGCUCUGUGAAGACCCAGAGGCACAAGGAGAACAGCAUAUGAAGAAGAAGACAGAACCUGGAGUGAUGCUUCCACAAGCAGGGAACACCAAGAAUUGCCAACCAUCACCAGAAGCUAGGAGAGGCAUGGAACAGAUGCUCCCUGGGGGCCCUCAGAAAGAACCAACGCUGCUGACAUCUUGAUUUUGGAUGGCUAGCCUCAAGAACUGUGAGAAAUAAAUUUCUCUUCUUUUAAGCCACCCAAUUUGUGGAACUUUGUUAUGGC
Molecule: long non-coding RNA, 673 nt
Filed under: Papio anubis (olive baboon)
Lineage: Eukaryota; Metazoa; Chordata; Mammalia; Primates; Cercopithecidae
Description: lncRNA (ENSPANG00000049469.1)
Source: RNAcentral